RNAcentral lists this ribosomal RNA (484 nucleotides) under uncultured bacterium. RNAcentral's name for it is "partial 16S ribosomal RNA". It matches the Rfam family "Bacterial small subunit ribosomal RNA", at positions 30 to 507 of the family's 1533-position model. The record is from RNAcentral.
AUUGAACGCUGGCGGCAGGCCUAACACAUGCAAGUCGAGCGGAUGAAGGGAGCUUGCUCCUGGAUUCAGCGGAGGACGGGUGAGUAAUGCCUAGGAAUCUGCCUGGUAGUGGGGGAUAACGUCCGGAAACGGGCGCUAAUCCCGCAUACGUCCUGAGGGUGAAAGUGGGGGUUCUUCGGACCUCACGCUAUCAGAUGAGCCUAGGUCGGAUUAGCUAGUUGGUGGGGUAAAGGCCUACCAAGGCGACGAUCCGUAACUGGUCUGAGAGGAUGAUCAGUCACACUGGAACUGAGACACGGUCCAGACUCCUACGGGAGGCAGCAGUGGGGAAUAUUGGACAAUGGGCGAAAGCCUGAUCCAGCCAUGCCGCGUGUGUGAAGAAGGUCUUCGGAUUGUAAAGCACUUUAAGUUGGGAGGAAGGGCAGUAAGUUAAUACCUUGCUGUUUUGACGUUACCAACAGAAUAAGCACCGGCUAACUUCGUG